RNAcentral lists this ribosomal RNA (353 nucleotides) under uncultured bacterium. RNAcentral's name for it is "bacterial SSU rRNA". It matches the Rfam family "Bacterial small subunit ribosomal RNA", at positions 917 to 1271 of the family's 1533-position model. The record is from RNAcentral.
GGGCCCGCACAAGCGGUGGAGUAUGUGGUUUAAUUCGAUGCAACGCGAAGAACCUUACCAGGGUUUGACAUCCUGCGAAUUUCUGGGAAACCGGAAAGUGCCUUCGGGAGCGCAGUGACAGGUGGUGCAUGGCUGUCGUCAGCUCGUGUCGUGAGAUGUUGGGUUAAGUCCCGCAACGAGCGCAACCCACGUCUUUAGUUGCCAGCAUUUAGUUGGGCACUCUAGAGAGACCGCCGGUGAUAAACCGGAGGAAGGUGUGGAUGACGUCAAGUCAUCAUGCCCCUUACAUCCUGGGCUACACACGUGCUACAAUGGCUAGGACAGACGGCCGCAAACCCGCGAGGGGGAGCCAA